UAGAUGCAACUGUGAUAACCAUACAUCAAACUUCAUUCAAAACCUUAUUACAAAAAGUUGUAAUGUCUCUAACACAAUUUCAAAACCAAAAUUACAUAGGCAGACUCCCAAUCACAUUGUAUAUCCACUUGGUUCAAGAAUUCAAUAUUUUUUCCCCUUUAUGAGAUUUUCAACACAAACAGAAGGCGGAUCCUAAAAACGCAGAUGUAACAAUUACAACUUCAUGCUCAAGAAACAAACCUACAUCUAUUGAUGAACACAGUAUAACCAUGGCAGGCAGAAGAGAAUAUAUACAAAUUGACUGAACUUAGAAGCCAAUUACUAAAAAGAAUUUGAUAACUCAUUACAUCAACUUCAACACAUGCAUCUUCAUAUUUAAUUCACACUCCAAGGAUUUAAAAGAGUACCUGUAUACAGCAAAACAAAAGAAAACCAGAAGAAAUGUGUCUAAGAUCAGUUUAUGACAACCAAGAAAUAACGGAGCUCAGCAGCAAAGGAACAACAAUGGUAAUCAACCAAUAACCUCAAUAAUCAGCCAUGUUUCAGCUUUGGAAACCCGAAAAAAUCCCCAGAAAAGUCAACCCAAAACUUUUUGCCAAAGGAAAAUGAAGCUCAAAACUAGAUAGUUUUAUCAGAAAAAGAUUUUUAGUCGUUUCUCUUUUUGGUGAGUCUUAGUCUCUGCCCUAGAAAUGAGGAGAAUGAGCCACUUAUAGCAAGCUUUAGGGCAGCAAAAUUGAUUUUAAACUUUUACUAUUACCCCUUCCCCAAUUUUCUCUUUUUCAUUUCAGACCCUAACAUUUGAACCUAUUUAGUAAUUCAUCCAAUUCUCACCUUCCUAGAAGCUUCCUAGACAGUUAGCCAAGAUUCUUUCUAUUCAAUUCCUCUAAAUACCCUUAAAACCAAUGCCAUUUACUUUCAACCAAAGCUGGGAUUUGUACCCUCUAAACAACUGAACCCCAAACUUCCUUUGGGCCUCUGUGCUAAUGGGCCUGUCUGCAUGCAAGGCAGGUCCCAGACCAAACAAAACCCAAAACAUGCAAUUUCGAAAGAAGAAGAAAGAGAAAUAGUAAUCAAGACAAAUUACUUAAUUAAAAAAAGCUAAUUGAACCUAAUCAGGGGAUCUCAUGACUGGAAAUAAACUGAGAUGAGGGAACAAAAAUCAACUAACAAAUGCUUGUAAAAUUCCUUCGACAAAUCUGGCCGGCUUGCUUAAUCCGAAUCUUCUUUGAAAUGAACCAAAAAUAACGCUAGGAAAUUGUUCUCGGCGAGAACAAUCAACUAGCAUAGGUUUUGGUCGAAUCGAAGCUUGAAACUUCAAAGAAAUCGAACAGGGGAAAAACUAAGGUUUUCUCUUCUUUUUUAGAUCUGCAAUUGAAAUAAUUUGGUAGGGCUUUGGGAAAAAUUGGUGGUGGAUUAGUGAUGAGGGUGAGUUGAUGGGUGUAUCGUAUGAAUUUGGUCGGAUUUGGAGAAUGCCGCCGCCGUGAGGCGAUUCCCAGCGGUGGCGGGCGGUGGCGAUUUAGAGAGACAAAAUGGGGGGUUUCUGUGGGUUUGAAUUGG
RNAcentral lists this long non-coding RNA (1557 nucleotides) under Nicotiana tabacum (common tobacco). RNAcentral describes it as "long non-coding RNA (NTAB_LNC001328)". Lineage: Eukaryota; Viridiplantae; Streptophyta; Magnoliopsida; Solanales; Solanaceae. The record is from RNAcentral.